This 71-nucleotide transfer RNA is filed under the name bacterium. Its description in RNAcentral is "tRNA-Gln". It matches the Rfam family "tRNA". Rfam says of the family: Transfer RNA (tRNA) molecules are approximately 80 nucleotides in length. Their secondary structure includes four short double-helical elements and three loops (D, anti-codon, and T loops). Further hydrogen bonds mediate the characteristic L-shaped molecular structure. tRNAs have two regions of fundamental functional importance: the anti-codon, which is responsible for specific mRNA codon recognition, and the 3' end, to which the tRNAs corresponding amino acid is attached (by aminoacyl-tRNA synthetases). tRNAs cope with the degeneracy of the genetic code in two manners: having more than one tRNA (with a specific anti-codon) for a particular amino acid; and 'wobble' base-pairing, i.e. permitting non-standard base-pairing at the 3rd anti-codon position. The record is from RNAcentral.
UGCGGGAUCGUCCAACGGUAAGACAUCGCCCUCUGGAGGCGAGUAUCCUGGUUCGAAUCCAGGUCCCGCAA